RNAcentral lists this ribosomal RNA (305 nucleotides) under uncultured bacterium. RNAcentral describes it as "bacterial SSU rRNA". It matches the Rfam family "Bacterial small subunit ribosomal RNA", at positions 335 to 638 of the family's 1533-position model. The record is from RNAcentral.
UACCUACGGGGCGCAGCAGUGAGGAAUAUUGGUCAAUGGGCUAAGGCCUGAACCAGCCAAGUCGCGUGAGGGAAGACGGUCCUAUGGAUUGUAAACCUCUUUUGUCGGGGAGCAACGAGGCCACGUGUGGCCGAAGUGAGAGUACCCGAAGAAAAAGCAUCGGCUAACUCCGUGCCAGCAGCCGCGGUAAUACGGAGGAUCUGAGCGUUAUCCGGAUUUAUUGGGUUUAAAGGGAGCGUAGGUGGAUUGUUAAGUCAGUUGUGAAAGUUUGCGGCUCAACCGUAAAAUUGCAGUUGAAACUGGCA